This 1051-nucleotide long non-coding RNA is filed under the name Capra hircus (goat). RNAcentral's name for it is "lncRNA (ENSCHIG00010011579.1)". Lineage: Eukaryota; Metazoa; Chordata; Mammalia; Artiodactyla; Bovidae. The record is from RNAcentral.
AAGACGCUUUUCUGCAUGGUGCAAGCCAAAUGGCUGAACCUGGAGGACACUGAUGCCAGGGGAAAGAAGCCAGUACCUGGAGGACUGUGCUUCCACUGGGGCUCGUUCCUCCCACGUAUGCCUCCUCAUUCAUGCUGGGAUGUGCUGUUGGCUGGGAUGUGGGGGGCUGGGGGUUGGCGGAUGGAUGACGCCGAGAUCAGCUAGCCUGUUCUCUCCUGGGGGCAUGGCCUUAAACUUGGCUUGCCUGUGCUCGGGGCUUCCUUGAUAGCUCAGUUGGUAAAGGAUCCGCCUGCAUUGCAGGAGACCCAAGUUGAUUCCUGCAUUGGGAAGAUCCCCUGGAGAAGGGAGAAAACUACCAUCUGGCCUCCAGAACUAGUCUACAAGUUACCAGUCCACUGGAAUGGCAGGGCCACGCGGGCAAGGGGAGCAGAGCGAGAGGGUGGCUUGAACACUCCUCAUCUCACCUAGGAUUUUGCAGCCCUGUAGCUUAGCUCAUGGUGGACACCUAGAUGUCUGCUGCUUCGUUGAAUUUCCCGCCAUCCAACCACCACCUACCAUGAGCACACUUGUCAUUCUCUGACGACCCAAGAUCAUGGCCCACGGGGAAAACCAGGGCAUGUCCAGAGUGGCUGUGACAGCCAAGAUAUCCCCUAGGAGGCUGGAUGACCCAGGGAGAGCUGAGUGGUCCCCAGCAAUGACAAUAGAGGACCCCGGGGAAGGACCCAGCGAACCCAUGAUGCACAUGGGAGCCAGGAGUUCGUCUUGGAGGCUGGAACUCUGGGUAAAUUACCUUGAGAGGAAGACUGAGGUCCAGGAGGUGGUGAUGGAGGCCUGGCUGUGCACCUUGACACCCCUUCCCCGUCUUGGCACACAUUUUCAGAAGGCGAUCACCUCUGCUUUAACUGUUUUCUUCGUUGGUUUUGAAACCAGACCUGGGGGCAAACAGAGAGAAUUUGUUCUGAAGAGAAAGGCGGCUGGAUGCUUUUGGCUGACAUGGAUCGGCAUGGGGAGCCUGAGAGGGAGAACGGUUGGAGAGAGGGGGCCUACCUGA